Non-coding RNA from Columba livia (rock pigeon), 42 nucleotides. The record is from Rfam. NCBI's taxonomy places the organism in Eukaryota, Metazoa, Chordata, Aves, Columbiformes, Columbidae.
CAACAGGUUUUCAAAACCACACAUAUACACAAAAAUUUGAAA